GCAGUGGGGAAUUUUGGACAAUGGGCGCAAGCCUGAUCCAGCAAUGCCGCGUGAGUGAAGAAGGCCUUCGGGUUGUAAAGCUCUUUUGUCAGGGAAGAAACGGUUGAGGAUAAUACCUUCGGCUAAUGACGGUACCUGAAGAAUAAGCACCGGCUAACUACGUGCCAGCAGCCGCGGUAAUACGUAGGGUGCAAGCGUUAAUCGGAAUUACUGGGCGUAAAGCGUGCGCAGGCGGUUUUGUAAGUCUGUCGUGAAAGCCCCGGGCUCAACCUGGGAAUUGCGAUGGAGACUGCAAGGCUUGAAUCUGGCAGAGGGGGGUAGAAUUCCACGUGUAGCAGUGAAAUGCGUAGAGAUGUGGAGGAACACCGAUGGCGAAGGCAGCCCCCUGGGUCAAGAUUGACGCUCAUGCACGAAAGCGUGGGGAGCAAACAGGAUUAGA
This 439-nucleotide ribosomal RNA is filed under the name uncultured bacterium. RNAcentral describes it as "bacterial SSU rRNA". It matches the Rfam family "Bacterial small subunit ribosomal RNA", at positions 351 to 782 of the family's 1533-position model. The record is from RNAcentral.